AGCCAUGCUUCUGAAUGACAGAUCCUAGUGAUGUCAUGUAGAUGGAGAAUGGAAGCGGUCCCAGCACCGAGCCCUGAGGCACUCCAGUAGCUAGAUGUCGUGACUUACCCUGAAGGACCUACUGAGAGCAAACAAUCCCGUCUUUGUUGUCCUGGUCUGGAGAGGAUCCUUCAGUCCGCGCGUCGCCGCAUUCACUGAUUGCUCUCUUUUUCUGCUGUUACCUCACAUAUGAUAUUUAGAGGCUCAUUUGAAUGGUCCUGAAUCUGAUAUCACACAACAUAAUAAGCCGAAGAUGAGAUGGCCAGUCUGAGGGACAUGCAAAUCAUCUCGAUAAAUUGGAUUUCGCCGUGUUAAUAUGAACACGCUGAUUUUCAUGGCAGCCACAGAGCAUUCUUGGGGAAAUAUGAGUCUGAAAACCGUCCCGAGAUGCUGCCAGACGAGAGAGGUUUGGCUUUCCAGACAAGAGUGAGUGAUUCCAAAAUACACAAUAU
Molecule: long non-coding RNA, 491 nt
Organism: Pimephales promelas (fathead minnow)
Lineage: Eukaryota; Metazoa; Chordata; Actinopteri; Cypriniformes; Leuciscidae
Source: RefSeq, a predicted model, not a curated record